RNAcentral lists this small RNA (125 nucleotides) under Marmota monax (woodchuck). Lineage: Eukaryota; Metazoa; Chordata; Mammalia; Rodentia; Sciuridae. The record is from RNAcentral.
GCUGGGCAUGGUGGCACAUGCCUGUAAUCCCAGCGGCUCAGGGGGCUGAGGCAGGAGGAUCUCGAGUUCAAAGCCAGCCUCAGCAGAAGCAAAGUGUUAAGUAACUCAGUGAGACCUUGUCUCUA